AGUAGGGAAUAUUGGACAAUGGGGGCAACCCUGAUCCAGCCAUGCCGCGUGAGUGAAGAAGGCCCUCGGGUUGUAAAGCUCUUUUGUCCGGAAAGAAAAGCAUUCGGUGAAUACCCGGAUGUUCUGACGGUACCGGAAGAAUAGGCACCGGCUAACUUCGUGCCAGCAGCCGCAGUAAUACGAAGGGUGCAAGCGUUACUCGGAAUUACUGGGCGUAAAGCGUGCGUAGGUGGUUGUUUAAGUCUGAUGUGAAAGCCCUGGGCUCAACCUGGGAAUGGCAUUGGAAACUGGGCAGCUAGAGUGCGGUAGAGGGUAGUGGAAUCCCCGGUGUAGCAGUGAAAUGCGUAGAGAUCGGGAGGAACAUCUGUGGCGAAGGCGACUGCCUGGACCAGCACUGACACUGAGGCACGAAAGCGUGGGGAGCAAACA
RNAcentral lists this ribosomal RNA (429 nucleotides) under uncultured bacterium. RNAcentral describes it as "bacterial SSU rRNA". It matches the Rfam family "Bacterial small subunit ribosomal RNA", at positions 353 to 774 of the family's 1533-position model. The record is from RNAcentral.